AUUGAACGCUGGCGGCAGGCCUAACACAUGCAAGUCGAGCGGAUGAAGAGAGCUUGCUCUCUGAUUCAGCGGCGGACGGGUGAGUAAUGCCUAGGAAUCUGCCUGGUAGUGGGGGACAACGUUUCGAAAGGAACGCUAAUACCGCAUACGUCCUACGGGAGAAAGUGGGGGAUCUUCGGACCUCACGCUAUCAGAUGAGCCUAGGUACGAUUAGCUAGUUGGUGAGGUAAAGGCUAACCAAGGCGACGAUCGUUAACUGGUCUGAGAGGAUGAUCAGUCACACUGGAACUGAGACACGGUCCAGACUCCUACGGGAGGCAGCAGUGGGGAAUAUUGGACAAUGGGCGAAAGCCUGAUCCAGCCAUGCCGCGUGUGUGAAGAAGGUCUUCGGAUCGUAAAGCACUUUAAGUUGGGAGGAAGGGCAGUAAGUUAAUACCUUGCUGUUUUGACGUUACCGACAGAAUAAGCACCGGCUAACUUCGUGCCAGCCGCCGCCGUAA
Molecule: ribosomal RNA, 500 nt
Filed under: uncultured bacterium
Lineage: Bacteria
Description: partial 16S ribosomal RNA
Rfam family: Bacterial small subunit ribosomal RNA
Source: RNAcentral